CUUGAUCCCGUCGGUGUUCGGACGGUUCACCAUGGUGCGCUGAUGGGCAGGGCCUCUGCGGAAUUCCUUCAAUCUAGUGCUCAUCACCGAGCCGCUGCACCAUGGUUGAAGGUCUCCUCGGCAUGAUCCCUGGUGAGAUUCUGGACCCUUUGGUUCGCUUGCUGGUCCGCUCUGCGUAGCACAAACCGUAGGGGAAAGUGGAGUUCUGGUGCUCGAUUGGAUGGAGGCACCGGUGAUGGUCUCCACCGUUGGGGGCAGCCGCCACUGGUGCGGGAUCUGCUGCGCUCAGCUAUCGAUGGUGGAAGACAACCCAUGAACCGUAGAUCAUGUUAUCAGUGGCCAGGAUUGGAAGAUAGGGCCAACCCGACUAGAGCCUAUCUCUACCGUUGGAUCAUUUACCGACGUGUAGGAUUAGAUCGCGUUCAAAUGUGACCUGGACCGUUGAUCCAUUAUCCAAUGGUCCUCACUGCUCACCAGUACAUAACACGCCAGAUCCAAUCUUCGCCGCUAGAUCUAAUCUGGACGGCUCUAGUUACCCGGUACCCCUUCGGCCUGGCCUUUUUGCACAUGAGCCCCUGAUUAAAGUAGGAAUUAACCCGCCAUCCUCGGGCGGUGUUCACUGAGUCUUAAGAAUUUUUAUGAGUUAGACCCGGCUGUUCUCUGUUUUGUGCGCGAGAUCCAGGGAGCAGUGAAAAUAAAUAAAUAAUUAUAGAAAAUGAUUUCUAGUAUAUAAAUAAUUCCAGAAACUCAUUUUAUUCAUAGAAAAUUCAUAUGUGGUCCAAAUUAACCCAUUCUAGUUCCUAUAAUUUGUAUUAAUUAUGUUUAUCCCUUGGUAACACUAUUUUAACAUGAAAACCAUAUUAAAAUUAAUAUCCUAUUUAAUCUGUUAUCCAACACUUAAAACUUCAUAAAUUCAUAACUCCUUCAUUUUAAUUCCGAUUUGAUCCGUUCAAGUUGCGUUAGUCUCGUAGCAACGCGUAGAUUAUUUUUACGCAGUGUAUUCUUAUGUUUGGUGUGAUGUUAAUUUUGUUUAUACCAUGUUUGUUUGUAUUGCUACGACUAUCAGCGAGGUUACGAGUUACUUGAAGAGCAAGUUGGUACCUGGAGUCUCAAGUGCCAGGCAAGUUGUGCCCUUGAUUCACUUUUGUUACCCAAUAAUGUUCUUCAUAAUCAUUUACCAUGCAUAGGUUUAAUUUUGAUGGGACCCGAUAGGUCACCCUAGAUUGUUUAUCUCAUUACCUUGUUUACCCCUGAAUCACUUAGGUAGUUUGCUAUUGCUUUAUAUGGUUUUGGUAUAAUCAUUUAUUAUAUCCAUGUUCCAGUUAUUUUGUUAUUCUAUUUAUGUUCAUAUCAAGAUCAUUAUGUUAUUGUUAAUUGGAACAUGGAGCUUAACUUGAGAAACACGUGCCGCCACAAGGGUUUAAUGGGACGCUCUUGGCUGACUAAUUAGGAAAGCUAGUGGAAGACUACCUUACCCGAAAGGGGCAAGGGCAGUAGGGGAGUUGCAUGCAAGGAGGUUCUCGGGUUGAUUUAGCUGCGAUGGCGGUCAGACGGGGGAUUCUUGCAAGUGCUCUUCCUAUAAACUGUAGCGGGUUUUCGGAAGCUAGUGGAACUUUGUAAAGGCCUCGUAGUGGAUCCCUAGCCAUUCACCUUGGUAGUGUCUAAGGGCCUAACUAACCCUGGCGACAUGGGAAACACGACUUGUGGGUAAAGGGUACAACCUCUGCAGAGUGUAAAACUGGUAUACUAGCCGAGCUCACGGUCAUGAGCGGCUCAGAACUCUCCGAUGAUUAAAUUAUGGAACCUAAACUCAAUUUGUUAUUUGCAUGGGAUUAUUAUUAAUUUUGUUCUAUUACUUUAUUAUGGUUUGGUAUUUACUUACACUUAGUAACUGCUAAUAAAAUUUUGACCAACUACUUAAAAGCAAUGCUCAGCUUUAACCCCUGUUGUUGAUCAGCCUUACAUUUCAUGAACUCCCACCUUUGGUGAGUUCAUGCCACAUUAUUCCCCACAACUUGUUGAGCGAUGAACAUGUGUGAGCUCACCCUUGCUGUCUCACACCCCCCACAGGAGAAGAACAGGUAGUUCAGGAGGAGCCACAAGGCGAGGAGUAUGAUCUGAUCUAGGUGGCGUUUCUCAGUUGACAUUGGCGCCAACGAUCCUUAGUUCGUUUUAUAUUUAUUCUUUUAUUUUGUAAUAAGUCUUCCGCUAUGUAAUAAAUACUCUGAUGUUAUUGACAUUUAUCUCUAUACACUCUGUUAUUAUAUA
This 2268-nucleotide long non-coding RNA is filed under the name Zea mays. Its description in RNAcentral is "long non-coding RNA (ZMAY_LNC005100)". Lineage: Eukaryota; Viridiplantae; Streptophyta; Magnoliopsida; Poales; Poaceae. The record is from RNAcentral.